This 253-nucleotide ribosomal RNA is filed under the name uncultured bacterium. RNAcentral's name for it is "partial 16S ribosomal RNA". It matches the Rfam family "Bacterial small subunit ribosomal RNA", at positions 524 to 776 of the family's 1533-position model. The record is from RNAcentral.
UACGUAGGGUGCGAGCGUUGUCCGGAAUUAUUGGGCGUAAAGGGCUCGUAGGCGGUUUGUCGCGUCGGGAGUGAAAUCAUCUGGCUUAACUGGGUGCUUGCUUUCGAUACGGGCAGACUAGAGGUAUGCAGGGGAGAACGGAAUUCCUGGUGUAGCGGUGAAAUGCGCAGAUAUCAGGAGGAACACCGGUGGCGAAGGCGGGAUCCUGGGCCAGUACUGACGCUGAGGAGCGAAAGCGUGGGGAGCAAACAGG